Molecule: ribosomal RNA, 422 nt
Filed under: uncultured cyanobacterium
Lineage: Bacteria; Bacillati; Cyanobacteriota
Description: bacterial SSU rRNA
Rfam family: Bacterial small subunit ribosomal RNA
Source: RNAcentral
GAAUUUUCCGCAAUGGGCGAAAGCCUGACGGAGCAAUACCGCGUGAGGGAGGAAGGCUCUUGGGUUGUAAACCUCUUUUCUCAAGGAAGAAAAAAAUGACGGUACUUGAGGAAUAAGCAUCGGCUAACUCCGUGCCAGCAGCCGCGGUAAUACGGAGGAUGCAAGCGUUAUUCGGAAUUAUUGGGCGUAAAGCGUCCGCAGGUGGUAUUUCAAGUCUGCUGUCAAAGACCGAAGCUUAACUUCGGAAAGGCAGUGGAAACUGAAAAACUAGAGUACGGUAGGGGUAGAGGGAAUUUCCAGUGUAGCGGUGAAAUGCGUAGAGAUUGGAAAGAACACCAGUGGCGAAGGCGCUCUACUGGGCCGUAACUGACACUCAGGGACGAAAGCUAGGGGAGCGAAAGGGAUUAGAUACCCCUGUAGUC